UAUUGUUGUAACCUCGUCGGUGGCUUUAUUACCAAUUGGGCAGCCAUUGUACGAUCAUGUUGAGAAAUAUACAGAAAUAUUCUUUGAUUCCCUCUACUCUUGGUAAAUUCCUAAGGUAGAAAGAUAGAGUCUUAUCAUUGGUAUAAGGCCAUUGAUCUUCUAAGUUGUUCCUUUAGUGUAUGACAUGUGCUCGUGUUCGUACUCAUUCGGUAACAAUGGAAGCUCACGUUUCUGCGCUCGAAGCCUCUAAUUCCAAAAACCAACACAUUUUAGAAGCCAUUCAACGUCUUCUUAAGGAUAAGUUCACGUCAAUUGAUAAACGUCUUGAUUCAAUUGAUUCUCAUCGUGAAGAUUCUGAUCAUCCCCUUCUGCAUCCAUCUUACGACGACGAUGGGGAUGGCUUUCGGCGGCGGGGAGAGAGGGAUCACUGUGAGAGGUAAAGGGGUUUUCUUUCUAAGAAUCGUAUGCCCUUUGUUAAGAUGGAAUUUCCCAGAUUCAACGAUGGGGAUGAUCCAAUUGAAUGGGUUUACAAGGCGGAGCAGUAUUUUGAUUAUUUGGAUUAUUUUUCGGUGCCAUCUAAGAAGAAGGUAAAAAUGAUUUCUUUCCAUCUGGAUCGUGAGGCUUUACAAUGGUAUUAGUGGGAGGAAUGUGCUUCUUCUUUGUCCAAGUGGGAAGAUUUUACCAGGACCUUUUGUAGAGAAUUUGGCUCUUAUGGGUUUGAGGAUUUUGCAGAGUCACUGUUUAAGCUUCAUCAAAUUGGUUCUUUAAAGGAUUAUAUCUCUGAAUUUCGACAUUUGGCAACUCGAAUCCGAGAUCUUAGUCCAAAUUUUCGAUUGAGCUGUUUCAUUGGUGGAUUAAGGGAAGAACUCAAGCAUGAUGUCAAGUUGCUUUGUCUUGCUACAUGAAUUUUGCUCAUGAAGUGGAUGUUAAACUCCAAAAGUUGAGGUAUGUGCAUUUUUCUGGAAAUUUUAAGUCAAGAUUGCCUCUUUUACCCAUUCAAAAUGAUUUAGUUCCUGCUGAAAGUGAUAUUGUUCCGAGGAAGGAUAUGCCUAUCAAGAAAUUAACUCUUGCGGAAAUCCAAUAUAAACGACUGAAUAAUCUUUGCUUUUAUUGUGAUGAAAAAUUUGUGAGGGGCCAUAAGUGUGCUAGGAAACAAAUCUUAUUGCUGGAUAUAUGGGUUAUAAUAGCUCCAAGGAAGAGGAAAUAGUUCAAGAAUUGCAACACAUUUAAUAGGUAGCUGAGGUGAAUGCUUGUUGUAUCAUAAGGUAGCUCUCUCUUUGCAAGCAGCCCAAGGAGAGAAAAGAAAUGAAGCCCAAACUCCAGUCCAUUUUCGGAAGCAACCUUGCAAGCCCCAAAACGCACGUUUUUACUGCUAAGAUGGGAAUACAGUCUUCAUGAAAGUUGGUCCAAUAUGUGUCUAUUAUAACAUAUCCAAAUGUGAGCUCCAUUGGAUACAUAUUGAAACCUAUGGUCUUCCUAAACCAAUCCUGGUUCAAGAAGAAUUCCUUUUUCCAGCAACCUAAAGGAAUGAUUGUAGCCAACCAAAAAGAUAGCAGUCAGCAACUUUGGACAGCAACCAUGUGUGCAGCAGCAAAGUCACAUGAUUUACCACAGCAAAAGAAGUAUAAAGCAUGUUGUUGGCUGACACAAGAUAUGAAAUUCAAAUGCCAAUAUGCCUACAAGUAAUGAGCAGAGAAACAUAAAGAAAAGAAAGAGGGAUGGCAGCUGCCAAAAGAAGAAAGAUAAUGAAAAAGAAUGUUGAGCUGCAGCUUACA
This is a non-coding RNA of Prunus avium (sweet cherry), 1775 nucleotides long. NCBI's taxonomy places the organism in Eukaryota, Viridiplantae, Streptophyta, Magnoliopsida, Rosales, Rosaceae. The record is from RefSeq and is a predicted model, not a curated record.